CGGACGGGUGAGUAACGCGUAGGUAUCUAUCCAGUGGUGGGGGGAUAACGGCGGGAAACUGCUGCUAAUACCGCAUGACGACUGAAGGUCCAAAGGCAGCGAUGUCGCCGAUGGAGGAGCCUGCGUUCGAUUAGCUUGUUGGUGGGGUAACGGGCCUACCAAGGCGACGAUCGAUAGCUGGUCUGAGAGGAUGGCCAGCCACAUUGGGACUGAGACACGGCCCAA
Molecule: ribosomal RNA, 225 nt
Filed under: uncultured bacterium
Lineage: Bacteria
Description: partial 16S ribosomal RNA
Rfam family: Bacterial small subunit ribosomal RNA
Source: RNAcentral